Molecule: ribosomal RNA, 497 nt
Filed under: uncultured bacterium
Lineage: Bacteria
Description: partial 16S ribosomal RNA
Rfam family: Bacterial small subunit ribosomal RNA
Source: RNAcentral
GAUGAACGCUGGCGGCGUGCCUAAGACAUGCAAGUCGAGCGAACGGACGAGAAGUUUGUUUCUCUGAUGUUAGCGGCGGACGGGUGAGUAACACGUGGAUAACCUACUUAUAAGACUGGGAGAACUUCGGGAAACCGGAGCUAAUACCGGAUAAUAUUUUGAACCGCAUGGUUCAAAAGUGAAAGACGGUCUUGCUGUCACUUAUAGAUGGAUCCGCGCUGCAUUAGCUAGUGGGUAAGGUAACGGCUUACCAAGGCAACGAUGCAUAGCCGACCUGAGAGGGUGAUCGGCCACACGGGAACUGAGACACGGUCCAGCCUCCUGAGGGAGGCAGCAGUAGGGAAUGUUCCGCAAUGGGCGAAAGCCUGACAGAGCGACGCCGCGUGAGUGAUGAAGGUCUUCGGAUCGUAAAACUCUGUUAUGAGGGAAGAACAUAUGUGUAAGUAACUGUGCACAUCUUGACGGUACCUCAUCAGAAAGCCACGGCUAACUACGUG